CCCUUAGAUGUUCUGGGCCGCACGCGCGCUACACUGUUCGACGCAGCGAGUCUUAACCUUGACCGAAAGGUUUGGGUAAUCUUCAGCAAAGUCGAACGUGAUGGGGAUCGAUCAUUGCAAUUAUUGAUCGUGAACGAGGAAUUCCUAGUAAGUGCAAGUCAUCAGCUUGCGCUGAUUACGUCCCUGCCCUUUGUACACACCGCCCGUCGCUACUACCGAUUGAAUGGCUUAGUGAGCCUUUGGGAUUGGCAGCCAACACCGGCAACGGUAGCUGGCCGCCGAAAACUUAUGCAAACUUGGUCAUUUAGAGGAAGUAAAAGUCGUAACA
RNAcentral lists this ribosomal RNA (328 nucleotides) under uncultured eukaryote. Its description in RNAcentral is "partial 18S ribosomal RNA". It matches the Rfam family "Eukaryotic small subunit ribosomal RNA", at positions 1470 to 1796 of the family's 1831-position model. The record is from RNAcentral.